UAAUUUGAAGCCGAAACAUGUGACCGAAUUAUUUAUAUUACCGCGUUCCGCCACGUUUCAUCGCGUUCGUCUUCACAGUCGUUUCGAGUAAUUUCAAGAAGAACGUCCACAGGUCCCAUUUUAAGAUAAACUGACAAAGGCACGCACGUUUCAAUUCUGUGGUGCAUUUAAAGAUCGAUAUUCCAGUCGUACGCGCGCGGAGAUUCUUCUCCGGCAGUGUAAACAUAUCCUCGAUACGUCCGUGGAACGCAGUAAAGAGACGCGAAGAGACAGGCGAGCAAGGGUGGGAAGAAGCUACGGGGCUUCUACGGUGCUUGCGGUGGUGCGGAAUCCGCGCCGGUUUGCCGCGACGCGGGGUGCAUCGGGGAAAUGAUGCGCAGAUUGGCCGGAUCAUCUCAAAAACCACCACCCUCUGCCUCCAGCCCUCCUCCUACUACCAUUCGUCCCCUCUGAUUUCUCUUUCUCCCUCUUUCUCGCACUCUAUAUC
This 487-nucleotide unclassified non-coding RNA is filed under the name Bombus terrestris (buff-tailed bumblebee). RNAcentral's name for it is "misc RNA ENSBTSG00005033717.1". The record is from RNAcentral. Lineage: Eukaryota; Metazoa; Arthropoda; Insecta; Hymenoptera; Apidae.